Molecule: transfer-messenger RNA, 351 nt
Filed under: Candidatus Centipeda massiliensis
Lineage: Bacteria; Bacillati; Bacillota; Negativicutes; Selenomonadales; Selenomonadaceae
Description: Centipeda massiliensis Standard tmRNA
Rfam family: transfer-messenger RNA
About the family: Bacterial tmRNA, also known as 10Sa RNA or SsrA, is named for its dual tRNA and mRNA-like properties.
Source: RNAcentral
GGGGAUGUAAUGGUCUCGACGGGGAUGGGUAGUAUGUGGACAGCGAGCCGGGGGGUCAUCACCCCGUUAGUAAGGUGAAACUUUUAUUAAACAUAAAAGCAAACGAAGACUACGCUCUGGCGGCUUAAGCCAGCCCCUUUCCGUCUGCCUCCCGCACGGAUGGAGACCGGGGUCAAACGCGGGAUACCCGAGAGCCAUCGCACGAUAACUCUCACGGGAACACCAUCGUGAUCGGUGCGCCGCAGCCUGUCUGUGGGCGGCGGCACUCCUAAAGAAAAGCACAGACUGCGCUCGGAGAAAUCCAUGUAGUAUUAUCUUCGGACAGGAGUUCGAUUCUCCUCAUCUCCACCA